UAUACAAUCGGCAAUGUUGUCUCUUUGGAACAUAAAAAUAUGACAUUCAUGAUAAUCAAAAUAUAUAUUUUUGCCGUUUUGAAUUUUUAUUUCAGACAUUUCCGGACUUCCGGCGGAAAUAAAACCCCUAAAAUUUAAUUUGAAAUAAUGCAUUUAUACUUUUCGAUCGCCAUUUGGUAUAGGUGUGCGUUUUAUAUCUAUAUCGUCCCAUACUAUCGUCCCGAAGUACAUUUUUACAUUUUGAUAUACGAUAGCUAGCUAAGAUUUAUAGUUUAUUCCAGGUUAAAAAUACGUAACGAAUUUCAUUCUGACGAGCGCUGGAAGAAGGCUAAAACGUAGCUAACAAUUCUUUAGCCAAUUUUCCUAUUGAAGAUAUGCCAGUCUAGGACACUUCGAAAUUGCUUUAGUCGGGCUUUCACGAUCUUUUACUCUGGGGACGAAAUCGAAUUUACAUCAUGUGGGAAAUAGACAGAGAGCACGACAGUGGCGUUGAUUUUAAUGAUGAGAUAACAUUAAGGUUGAGAAUCAAGGAGCUCAAAAAAACUGAGAAAAACUUUAUCACUUUACAAAAGGAUCACCAAACGCUUUUAGCCGCUCAUGGACAAUGCCUCGUUGAACAAACCGCCAAAGAAAAUAAAGAAAAAAGAUCCAAAAAUUUUCAAAAGAUAUAUGGGCGAACAUCUACAGUUGAAAGAAAUCACGAAAGUUCAAGUUCAAACGUACGCGGCGUUUACCCGUUGCUUUUAACACAAGAUUGCUUAUCUCCUAUGACACAGAGGGAUGCUGCGCUCCCUUCGAUGCAAGAUGACCCACAUCCCAUCACUCCGAGGGAUGCUCUGAUCCCCUCAACACGUGAUGAGGAUACAGCUAUCCCAACACAGGUGGGUGAUUCCAACCUCUCUCCACCUGAAGCGAAUCCAACCAAAUCCCCGGCAGCUAACUUGAAAAAACCCUACGAGACCCUUUUGGUCACAAUUCCCAAAGUUCUCCAUACCUCUGACAAGGAGAAAUUAAAGAACUGGGCUAAACGUUUUUCACUCCCGGAUUCUCUAAGUGCUGAACAAAUUAUCUUCCAAAUUGAUCGAAAAAGGCUCAUCAGCGCCUCAAACUUAAGUCAUCUGAAGGAAUUCUUUGAGAGCAUUAACAGAUUUGACCUUCUUUAUGUGAUUGAUGGAUUUCUUCAGGGUGACUACAGCUGUCUUCAGCAAGUAUUAGAGUCCCGUGGAGAGGCACAAUCAAGAUGAAUUGUGCAUAUUAGAAUGAAAUGCGUGUACUGCAUGGUCAGCAUCACUGGAAAAUCGACCAACCAAAGUAAUAACUUGUCCUCACAAUGUGGCUCAGUGACUGCCUAACAUAUAUAACCAAUUCCAGCCUGUCUUUUGCGCCGUAAUUGACACGUGUCAAAUGCACCAAAGGCAACGAGGUGAUGAUUUGAAACUCUUCAUUAUCUUUUAUUCUAUUAUACUGUAUUCGGCACAAGGCUCUCGACGUUUGAACCAAAAGGCUGGUUUUCAUUGUUGCAUUUUUGUGCGAGUCAAGUCCAAAUGUAUAUAAGGAGAUUAGCCUAUAGUAGAAAACCUUCUUCAGGUCGGGAAUCGGAUAUUUUUCAGACAGUCGCUAAACCACAUUUGAUGAGGGAGAGUUAUUUGACGCUGCUUUCCUGUUUUGUCUUAUAUUCCUACUAAUCGGUAAGGGAUUGAAAAGUUUGAUUAACAAUUAAUGGGGUUUAGUAUAAAAAUAAUCGUAAGGGGUUUAGUAUCGUAAUAAAAAUAAUCGUAAGGGAAAGAUAGCAGGACCUUUUUUAAGGAAUCCUUUUCAGAGUCAUCGACCCCCCUGUUUAAAAUACAAGCAAUGUUAUAUAAAACAUAGAAGCAUGCAUCCACCCAAUAUUGUUUUUGCGUACAAAGUAUGAAAGUGGUACCCCCGUGGUACUUCCGAGGGCCAAUUACACCCCUCAGUUAGCAUUUUGGCUAAUUCAUAAAACAAUUAUGGCAACCAUGGAUACAUGCUUAUAUGUUUUAUAUAACAUUGCUUAUAUUUUAUGCAGGGGGGUUGCUUUCUCUCAAAAUAAUAUCUUAAAAAAGGCCCUGAAAGAUAGUAGAAUAUGAAACCAACGUACGAUGGCUGAGAUUUUCAUGAAAUCAAUUUAUGAGUGUGAAUUUCUAAGCAUCGUACGAGGAUUUAGGUGGCUCCCUACAGUUUCAUGAAAUUGUUUAAUACACAUUUUGAACAGGGAUAUUAAGUCA
RNAcentral lists this long non-coding RNA (2246 nucleotides) under Dendronephthya gigantea. RNAcentral's name for it is "uncharacterized LOC114525583". Lineage: Eukaryota; Metazoa; Cnidaria; Anthozoa; Malacalcyonacea; Nephtheidae. The record is from RNAcentral.